Thalassophryne amazonica is the source of this 89-nucleotide long non-coding RNA. RefSeq lists it as uncharacterized. NCBI's taxonomy places the organism in Eukaryota, Metazoa, Chordata, Actinopteri, Batrachoidiformes, Batrachoididae. The record is from RefSeq and is a predicted model, not a curated record. The transcript has 3 exons.
UGGAUCAAGACUAGGAUCCAAGCGUUCAGUGACUUCCUGGAUUCGGCCAUCAGAAGUGUAUCUGUUUGUGUGUGUGGGUGUGUGUGAGU